RNAcentral lists this ribosomal RNA (492 nucleotides) under uncultured soil bacterium. Its description in RNAcentral is "bacterial SSU rRNA". It matches the Rfam family "Bacterial small subunit ribosomal RNA", at positions 26 to 497 of the family's 1533-position model. The record is from RNAcentral.
AGAGUGAACGCUGGCGGCAGGCCUAAUACAUGCAGGUCGAACGGCAGCACAGCAGAGCUUGCUCUGUGGGUGGCGAGUGGCGGACGGGUGAGGAAUACAUGGGAAUCUGCCCAGUCGUGGGGGAUAACGUAUGGAAACGUACGCUAAUACCGCAUGCGCCCUUCGGGGGAAAGCCGGGGACCUUCGGGCCUGGCGCGAUUGGAUGAGCCCAUGUCGGAUUAGCUAGUUGGCGGGGUAAAGGCCCACCAAGGCGACGAUCCGUAGCUGGUCUGAGAGGAUGAUCAGCCACACUGGAACUGAGACACGGUCCAGACUCCUACGGGAGCAGCAGUAGGGAAUAUUGGACAAGUGGGCGCAAGCCUGAUCCAGCCAUGCCGCGUGUGUGAAGAAGGCCUUGGGUUGUAAAGCUACGUUUUUGUACCGGAAAAGAAAGCACGUGGGUAGAACUACCCGUGGUCGUCCGUAGACGGUACCGGAAGAAUAAGACACCGG